This 455-nucleotide ribosomal RNA is filed under the name uncultured Rhodoferax sp. RNAcentral describes it as "bacterial SSU rRNA". It matches the Rfam family "Bacterial small subunit ribosomal RNA", at positions 925 to 1382 of the family's 1533-position model. The record is from RNAcentral. Lineage: Bacteria; Pseudomonadati; Pseudomonadota; Betaproteobacteria; Burkholderiales; Comamonadaceae.
ACAAGCGGUGGAUGAUGUGGUUUAAUUCGAUGCAACGCGAAAACCUUACCACCUUUGACAUGUACGGAAGCCUUUAGAGAUAGAGGCGUGCUCGAAAGAGAGCCGUAACACAGGUGCUGUAUGGCUGUCGUCAGCUCGUGUCGUGAGAUGUUGGGUUAAGUCCCGCAACGAGCGCAACCCUUGUCAUUAGUUGCUACAUUCAGUUGGGCACUCUAAUGAGACUGCCGGUGACAAGCCGGAGGAAGGUGGGGAUGACGUCAAGUCCUCAUGGCCCUUAUAGGUGGGGCUACACACGUCAUACAAUGGCUGGUACAAAGGGUUGCCAACCCGCGAGGGGGAGCUAAUCCCAUAAAGCCAGUCGUAGUCCGGAUCGUAGUCUGCAACUCGACUACGUGAAGUCGGAAUCGCUAGUAAUCGUGGAUCAGAAUGUCACGGUGAAUACGUUCCCGGGUCUU